CACAAUUAUGAAAGUCUGUUCUAAAAAUUAUAGAGUUGGCUGUUUUACUAAAAGUAUUUUUCUUCUCAUGGAAAAAUGGAAAAGAUGGAAAGAAGUGUGUCAGAAAGAAAAGGAAGUGGCCAGAGCUGGUAGAGGAGAAUGAAAGACGAAGAACAGAACCAAAGAACCAGAAAAGAAUGAGAUGAGAGAGAAGGAAUAGAAGGCAUAUGAGAUAUGCUAUCUGAACACCUCCAGCAUAUAAAAUUGGGACAUCCCCCUGACCACAUCUCAAAGCUUUUUCUUCUCUAUAUAUUUGGAAGAAGGAAGAAUUUAUAGCACACCCACUUCUGGGCCACUCUGCGCUGAAGACUUUUCAAUUACUGUCCAGUUUCCAUACUUAUUUUCACAUAUGCAUUAGGUGUCUUUCCUGUGGGACCAGUAUCUGGAGCUUUGAUACUGCCACCCCCCCACUGAUCCUGUGUCACUAUGCUGACCUCCAUGAUGAUUCAGAGAAUGUCAUUUUCUUUUAAAGUCCCAUCUUAAUUCUCCAGAGAACCACUAAGAAAAUUGUAAAGAUAUGGAAAAACAAGGAAUAACAUGACUAUGAGUAUCUCUUCUCCUGCAACUCAGAAUUCAUGGUGAUCAAGUUCCUACUAAAACAAUAGGUUCUCUUCCUCAGGAUAUGAACUGGAAGUUCUCAAGAUUUCAUUGUUGGAAGCAUUAACAGGAAUAAUACCCCUGAUUUAGUCUGUUGUGUGCUGCUAUAACAGAAUUUCUGAGGUCGAAUAAUUUAUAUGAACAGAAGUUUAUUUUCUCAGGAUUCUGGUGGCUUGGAAUUCCAAGAUCAAGUCUCCAGUAUCUGGCAAGAGCCAUCUUGCUGUGUAAUCACAUGAUGGAAGGCAGAGAGGCAAAGAGUGUCUCUCUCCAGUAGAAUGUUGCAGAAAUUGGAAGACCUCCUAAAGCUUAGACUGAACUCAGAAUAUCACACACAUUCUAGUAAUCAAAGUAAGUCACAAGGCCAGCCCAGAUGCAAGGAAAGGAGAAGUGGACUCAACUUCUUGAUGGGAGGAGUGGUAAAGUCCCAUUGCUCAGGACAUGUGGAACAGGAAUGAUGCUUGCAGCUGUCUCUGGAAAUAAUCUAUCAGUUUUUCCUUGAGAAACUUAUUUAAUCACCUGAUUUCCCCUAGCUUUGUCUGCAAAGAAAAUAACUUCAUGCAUUGCUUAAUGAUGAGAAAUGGAUCGGUGGGUGAUUUUGUUGUGUUAACAUGGUAGUAUACUCACACAAACUGGGACCGUAGAGCCUACUACAUGCCUAGGUCAUAUGGUAUGGCCUAUUGCUCCUUGGCUACAAACCUGUAUAGCAUGGUACUGAAUACCAUAGGCAAAUGUAAGAUGGUAUUUGUGUAUCUAACUGUAGAAAAGAAAAAAUAAAACUGUGGUAUAAAAGAUAAAAUUGGUG
RNAcentral lists this long non-coding RNA (1438 nucleotides) under Heterocephalus glaber (naked mole-rat). Its description in RNAcentral is "lncRNA (ENSHGLG00100039784.1)". Lineage: Eukaryota; Metazoa; Chordata; Mammalia; Rodentia; Bathyergidae. The record is from RNAcentral.